AGAGUUUGAUCCUGGCUCAGAACGAACGUUUGAUGGCGUGCCUCAUACAUGCAAGUCGAGCGGAGUAGCAAUACUCAGCGGCGGACGGGUGAGUAACACGUAAACAAUCUGCCCUGAAGCGGGGAAUAACUAUCCCAACGGAUAGCUAAUACCGCAUAAUGAUGGAGACGGCAUCGUCUCUUCUCAAAAGGCUUCGGCCACUUCAGGAUGAGUUUGCGUCCCAUUAGCUUGUUGGCGGUGUAAUAGACCACCAAGGCGACGAUGGGUAUCCGGCCUGAGAGGGUGUACGGACACAUUGGGACUGAGAUACGGCCCAGACUCCUACGGGAGGCAGCAGUAGGGAAUUUUGCGCAAUGGAGGAAACUCUGACGCAGCAACGCCAUGUGUGGGAUGAAGCAUUUCGGUGUGUAAACCACUGUCAGCGGGGAAUAAAUGGUCUCUUCGGAGGCAGUUGAAUGUACCCGCAAAGGAAGCCCCGGCUAACUUCGUGCCAGCAGCCGCGGUAAUACGAGGGGGGCAAAUGUUGUUCGGAAUCACUGGGCGUAAAGGGAGCGUAGGCGGGCUCUUAAGUUAGGGUGUUUAAUCCCGGGGCCCAACCCCGGACAGGCACCUAAAACUGGGAGUCUUGAAUAGUGGAGAGGUCGGCGGAAUUGGGGGUGUAGCGGUGGAAUGCGUAAGAUCCCCAAGAACACCAGUUGCGAAGGCGGCCGACUGGACACAUAUUGACGCUGAGGCUCGAAAGCAUGGGGAGCAAACAGGAUUAGAUANCCCUGGUAGUCCAUUGCCAUAAACGAUGAAUUACUAGGUUUUGGGCCCGUCAACGGUCCAAAGCCGGACUAACGCGUUAAGUAUUCCGCCUGGGGAGUACGGUCGCAAGACUGAAACUCAAAGGAAUUGACGGGGGCCCGCACAAGCGGUGGAGCAUGUGGUUUAAUUCGACGCAACGCGAAGAACCUUACCAAGGCUUGACAUGGGAAAGACUGGACGAGAGAUCGUCCUUCUCCAGCAAUGGAGCUUUCCACACAGGUGCUGCAUGGCUGUCGUCAGCUCGUGUCGUGAGAUGUUGGGUUAAGUCCCGCAACGAGCGCAACCCUCGUUUCUAGUUGCCAUCAUUCAGUUGGGCCCUCUAGAGAGACUGCCGCGAAUAACGCGGAGGAAGGUGGGGACGACGUCAAGUCAUCAUGGCCCUUACGUCUUGGGCUACACACGUGCUACAAUGGGCGUUACAAAGGGUCGCAAGAGCGCAAGCUGGAGCCAAUCCCCAAAGGCGCCCUCAGUUCAGAUUGAGGUCUGCAACUCGACCUCAUGAAGGUGGAAUCGCUAGUAAUCGCGGAUCAGAACGCCGCGGUGAAUACGUUCCCGGGCCUUGUACACACCGCCCGUCAAGCCACGAAAGGAGAGAGCGCUCUAAGUCGCUAAGGUAACCCGCAAGGGAGCCCAGCGCCUAAAGCGAGAUCUCUAAUUGGGGCUAAGUCGUAACAAGGUAGCCGUAUCGGAAGGUGCGGCUGGAUCACCUCCUU
RNAcentral lists this ribosomal RNA (1520 nucleotides) under uncultured bacterium. RNAcentral's name for it is "bacterial SSU rRNA". It matches the Rfam family "Bacterial small subunit ribosomal RNA". The record is from RNAcentral.